CAGGUGUAUUUCUUUUAACUGUCAUUUUAGCAACAAAUACGUAUCCCAACAGGCAGCUAUUUCCAACAAGCAGGAUAAUGCAGAUUAUACUAAACAUCGAGAUCGUGACAGAGAUUAUGACGGAUUGGAUACAAACAGACAGGAGAUGCACGUAUACAACACGGCACAGGACAAUGUAGAGUAUAGUCAUUAUAUGACGAUACCAGCAGACCAUACUUUUUUGGACCCAGACAAUACUUACUUGCAACCAGACAAUAGUUACUUGGAACCAGGUCGGAUUUACUUGGAACCCAUAAGUGGAAACUCAAUGACAUCUACAACGUAGUACACAUGACUAUCAAGAUGAAAAGUCUGGAGUUGUCUGAAUCUUAGGAUGAUAAUUGUUGCUAAUGGAAUCAAUUUGAUCAACAGAAAUAAACCUUUAGAAUCGCCACAGAAACAUAAUUCAAUUAUUUCUAUCAUUAACUGAAUAUUCUUUUUUUUAGAUUAAUUUAUUGAAUAAUUAUCCUUCGAACUAA
Molecule: long non-coding RNA, 518 nt
Organism: Mytilus californianus (California mussel)
Lineage: Eukaryota; Metazoa; Mollusca; Bivalvia; Mytilida; Mytilidae
Exons: 3
Source: RefSeq, a predicted model, not a curated record